This 624-nucleotide ribosomal RNA is filed under the name uncultured fungus. Its description in RNAcentral is "eukaryotic LSU rRNA". It matches the Rfam family "Eukaryotic large subunit ribosomal RNA", at positions 24 to 664 of the family's 3401-position model. Lineage: Eukaryota; Fungi. The record is from RNAcentral.
CCCGCUGAACUUAAGCAUAUCGAUAAGCGGAGGAAAAGAAACCAACAGGGAUUACCUCAGUAACGGCGAGUGAACUGGUAAUAGCUUAAAUUUGAAAUCUGGCCUUUAUGGGCCCGAGUUGUAAUUUGUAGAGGAUGUUUCGGACGAAACCUGGGCUUAAGUUUCUUGGAAUAGAAUGCCAUAGAGGGUGAGAGUCCCGUCUGGCGCCUAUGGAAAAGUCUAUGUGAAACUCCUUCGACGAGUAGAGUUGUUUGGGAAUGCAGCUCAAAAUGGGUGGUAAAUUUCAUCUAAAGCUAAAUAUUGGCCAGAGACCGAUAGCGCACAAGUAGAGUGAUCGAAAGGUGAAAAGCACUUUGAAAAGAGAGUUAAACAGUACGUGAAAUUGUUGAAAGGGAAGCGCUUAUAACCAGACUUGUGCAGGGUGGCUCCCCUGACCUUCUGGCCAGGUUAUUCCACUUCGCCCAGGCCAACAUCGGUUUUGGUGGUUAGUAAAAGGCCCUAGGAAUGUAUCUUCCCUCGGGAAGACUUAUAGCCUAGGGUGCCAUAUGGCCUACCGAGACCGAGGAACGCGCUCCGGCUAGGAUGUUGGCGUAAUGGUUAUCAGCGACCCGUCUUGAAACACGG